Molecule: ribosomal RNA, 407 nt
Filed under: uncultured bacterium
Lineage: Bacteria
Description: partial 16S ribosomal RNA
Rfam family: Bacterial small subunit ribosomal RNA
Source: RNAcentral
GACGAACGCUGGCGGCGUGCCUAAUACAUGCAAGUAGGACGCAGUUGCGAACGGGUGAGUAACGCGUAGGUAACUGCCUCUUAGAGGGGGAUAACUAUUGGAAACGAUAGCUAAUACCGCAUACUAGUAGAUGGCCCUGCGGUGUAAUAGCUAGUAGGUAGGGUAAUGGCCUACCUAGGCAACGAUACAUAGCCGACCUGAGAGGGUGAUCGGCCAAACUGGGACUGAGACACGGCCCAGACGCCUUCGGGAGGCAGCUGUAGGGAAGCUUCGGCAAUGGGGUGAACCCUGACCGAGCAACGCCGCGUGAGUGAAGAAGGUUUUCGGAUCGUAAAGCUCUGUUGUUAAGGAAGCGGUACUUAACCAGAAAGGGACGGCUAACUACGUGCCAGCAGCCGCGGUAAUUC